This 772-nucleotide ribosomal RNA is filed under the name uncultured Ascomycota. RNAcentral describes it as "SSU rRNA". It matches the Rfam family "Eukaryotic small subunit ribosomal RNA", at positions 46 to 832 of the family's 1831-position model. Lineage: Eukaryota; Fungi; Ascomycota. The record is from RNAcentral.
AAGCCAUGCAUGUCUAAGUAUAAGCAUUCAUACAGCGCUGCUGCGGAUGGCUCAUUAUAUAAGUUAUCGUCUAUUUGAUAGUACCUUACUACUUGGAUAACCGUGGUAAUUCUAGAGCUAAUAGAUGCUAAAAAUCCCGACUUCGGAAGGGAUGUAUUUAUUAGAUUAAAAACCAAUGCCCUCUGGGCUCUCUGGUGAUUCAUGAUAACUUCUCGAAUCGCACGGUCUUGCGCCGGCGAUGGUUCAUUCAAAUUUCUUCCCUAUCAACUUUCGAUGUUUGGGUAGUGGCCAACAUGGUUGCAACGGGUAACGGAGGGUUAGGGCUCGACCCCGGAGAAGGAGCCUGAGAAACUGCUACUACCUCCGAGGAAGGCAGCAGGCGCGCAAAUUACCCAAUCCCGAUUCGGGGAGGUAGUGACAAUAAAUACUGAUACAGGGCUCUUUCGGGUCUUGUAAUUGGAAUGAGUACAAUUUAAAUCCCUUAACGAGGAACAAUUGGAGGGCAAGUCUGGUGCCAGCAGCCGCGGUAAUUCCAGCUCCAAUAGCGUAUAUUAAAGUUGUUGUGGAUAAAAAGCUCGUAGUUGAACCUUGGGCCUGGGUGGCCGGUCCUCCUCACCGCGUGUACUGGUCCGGCCGGGUCUUUCCCUCUGUAGAACCCCAUGCCCUUCACUGGGUGUGGCGGGGAAACAGGACUUUUACUUUGAAAAAAUUAGAGUGCUCCAGGCAGGCUAUGCUCGAAUACAUUAGCGUGGAAUAAUAAAAUAGGACGUGG